UUACGGCCAUAUGAAGUUGAAACACCAGUUCCUUUACGAUCACCGAAGGUAAGCAACGUCAAGUCUUGUCCGUACCUAGAUGGGUGACCACUUGGGAAUACCAGUUGCUGUAA
This is a non-coding RNA of Acanthosepion pharaonis, 113 nucleotides long. Lineage: Eukaryota; Metazoa; Mollusca; Cephalopoda; Sepiida; Sepiidae. The record is from the annotation of a GenBank genome assembly.